AUGGGCUGCCGCAGGAUUGCAUGCAGAGGGCUUCCUUGCUUAGUGAAGGCAGAAAGGAAAACCUUGGGAAACUCAAGACCUAAGACACAGGGUAUGGCCAGCCUUUACAAAAUAUUUUUUAAGAGUGGGAGCCGCCGCCGCCGCACUGGGAGCUCGCAGGCGCCACGUCGCCCUCGCCACCGCCUCCUGCCCGUGCGGCCUCUGAGCGUCCCCGCCACGCUCCCAACCCCACCGGCGGCCAGGGGCGCUCUCGGCCGUCCCGGGCAGUGUCCCCGCUGUGGCCUUGCGGCGAUAGCCACCAAGAUCGACAAAGAAGCUUGCUGGGCGGCGUACAACCUGGUGCGCGACGACGGCUCGUCCGUCAUCUGGGUGACUUUUAAAUAUGACGGCUCCACCAUCGUCCCCGGCGAGCAGGGAGCGGAAUACCAGCACUUCAUCCAGCAGUGCACAGAUGACGUCCGGUUGUUUGCCUUCGUGCGCUUCACCACCGGGGAUGCCAUGAGCAAGAAGCCCAAGUUCACUCUCAUCACAUGGAUCAGUGAGGACGUCAGCGGGCUGGAGCGCGCCAAAACCAGGACGGACAAGACCCUGGUCAAGGAGGUCGUAUAGAAUUUCGCUAAGGAGUUUGUGAUCAGUGAUCGGAAGGAGCUGGAGGAAGAUUUCAUCAAGAGUGAGCUGAAUAAGGCGGGCGGAGCCAUCUACGACGCCCAGAGGAGUAACCCCAGCCCCCUGCCUGCCAAAGUCAUCUGCCUGCUCCCCAGGGGAGGGGACCGCCAGCUUCAGCUACCAGCCCACCAGCCCACAAGGGAGAAAAGAAGCCAUGAGAGGCAGCGCCCGCCACCCUGUGUCUGCAGCCCCCACCUUCCUGCUUCUCACAACCCUGCUGUGUCCCAUCUCAGGACGCUCAUGGAACCUCUUUCUUUGAUCUUUUUCUUUCCUCCCCCUCUUUUUUGUUCUAAAGGAAAAUCAUUUUGAUGCAAGGUCCUGCCUACCGUCAGAUCCGAGGGGACUCCUGCAGUGACCCCUUUUCCUGGAGUUUCUGUUACAUGGGACGAGGUCCUCCUAGUGAGAUCUGCAUGGCCUCACAUUGCUUCCAGAGCCGGGGCCUGUUUUGCCAUCUUGGUUUUCUUGGGCACCACUCGGGCAGCUGGGCCAGGAGCUGUGCCCGGUGCCUGCAGCCUUCAAAAACACACACGUCCAUUCCCUAGUCAGACCCAGACCUCCUGGAAUCUGCCCCAGCCUCCCUCCUCCCACCUCCAUCCAGAGUUGCCUAAGUUGCAUGUCUGGCAGAGGCAGGAUUGCUUGGGGGUGAGGUCAGGGCUGGCUCAGACCGAAUAAGGAGAGAAGAUUUGCCUUAAAACUUGCCUGGCAGUGGCUUUACUGCACGGUCUGAAAUCACCUGUUCCCACCCUCUUGACAGGCAUUUCCUUGUGACACAGAGAAGGGCAAAGGUCUGAGCCCAGAGUUGACAGAGUACUUCAGGGUUCACUUCAGGGGCUCCCAAAGCAAUAAGGAUGCUAGGAAGAGAGGCCCAGGGUGGGGACUGGGAAUUUAAAGAUUGCUGGGAAUGGAUCAUUUAGGUUCUGGAAGCUACUGUGCAAGCUGUGAGGAUGGCUUAGGCCGCAGGGCUGAUCCACUGAGCUGGGAGCUGAGCAAAGCCUUGGUAACGGUGCGCCAAAAGCCUUCGGCUUCAAUCCUAGGCCCGCACCACACACUCAAAAGCAUCGUUGUGUUUUGUUUUUAAAGAAAGAUGAGAGUGGCUUGGUUCUUCAUGAGCACAUCUGAUAUAGCUCUUUUUCUUUCUUCCUUGCUCAUUUUGUUUUGGGGAAGAAAUCUGUACUGCGUUGGAGUUGUGAAGAACAUCUCUGCACUCAGUUGACAGAAAUAAAUGUUUUUUUUGUUUUUCAAAAAAAA
This is a non-coding RNA of Callithrix jacchus (white-tufted-ear marmoset), 1914 nucleotides long. Lineage: Eukaryota; Metazoa; Chordata; Mammalia; Primates; Cebidae. The record is from RefSeq and is a predicted model, not a curated record.